Trichosporon asahii var. asahii CBS 2479 is the source of this 96-nucleotide non-coding RNA. The record is from the annotation of a RefSeq genome assembly. NCBI's taxonomy places the organism in Eukaryota, Fungi, Basidiomycota, Tremellomycetes, Trichosporonales, Trichosporonaceae.
GACUCGGUGGCGUAAUUGGUAGCGCUUCAGAUUCCAAUGACUUGGGAUAUAAACACGUAUUCCUGAAGGUUGUCCGUUCGAGUCGGGCCGGGGUCG